This 723-nucleotide ribosomal RNA is filed under the name Bacillus sp. Y13-05. RNAcentral describes it as "bacterial SSU rRNA". It matches the Rfam family "Bacterial small subunit ribosomal RNA", at positions 390 to 1104 of the family's 1533-position model. Lineage: Bacteria; Bacillati; Bacillota; Bacilli; Caryophanales; Bacillaceae. The record is from RNAcentral.
AGCAACGCCGCGUGAGUGAUGAAGGUUUUCGGAUCGUAAAGCUCUGUUGUUAGGGAAGAACAAGUGCCGUUCAAAUAGGGCGGCACCUUGACGGUACCUAACCAGAAAGCCACGGCUAACUACGUGCCAGCAGCCGCGGUAAUACGUAGGUGGCAAGCGUUGUCCGGAAUUAUUGGGCGUAAAGGGCUCGCAGGCGGUUUCUUAAGUCUGAUGUGAAAGCCCCCGGCUAACCGGGGAGGGUCAUUGGAAACUGGGGAACUUGAGUGCAGAAGAGGAGAGUGGAAUUCCACGUGUAGCGGUGAAAUGCGUAGAGAUGUGGAGGAACACCAGUGGCGAAGGCGACUCUCUGGUCUGUAACUGACGCUGAGGAGCGAAAGCGUGGGGAGCGAACAGGAUUAGAUACCCUGGUAGUCCACGCCGUAAACGAUGAGUGCUAAGUGUUAGGGGGUUUCCGCCCCUUAGUGCUGCAGCUAACGCAUUAAGCACCCGCCUGGGGAGUACGGUCGCAAGACUGAAACUCAAAGGAAUUGACGGGGGCCCGCACAAGCGGUGGAGCAUGUGGUUUAAUUCGAAGCAACGCGAAGAACCUUACCAGGUCUUGACAUCCUCUGACAAUCCUAGAGAUAGGACGUCCCCUUCGGGGGCAGAGUGACAGGUGGUGCAUGGUUGUCGUCAGCUCGUGUCGUGAGAUGUUGGGGUUAAGUCCCGCAACGAGCGCAACCC